CCUACGGGAGGCAGCAGUAGGGAAUCUUCCACAAUGGGCGAAAGCCUGAUGGAGCAACGCCGCGUGGGUGAAGAAGGUCUUCGGAUCGUAAAACCCUGUUGUCAGAGAAGAAAGUGCGUGAGAGUAACUGUUCACGAUCCGACGGUAUCUAACCAGAAAGCGACGGCUAACUACGUGCCAGCAGCCGCGGUAAUACGUAGGUGGCAAGCGUUAUCCGGAUUUAUUGGGCGUAAAGGGAACGCAGGCGGUCUUUUAAGUCUGAUGUGAAAGCCUUCGGCUUAACCGGAGUAGUGCAUUGGAAACUGGGGGACGUGAGUGCAGGAGGGGAGAGUGGAACUCCAUGUGUAGCGGUGGAAUGCGUAGAUAUAUGGAGGAACACCAGUGGCGAAAGCGGCUCUCUGGUCUGUAACUGACGCUGAGGUUCGAAAGCGUGGGUAGCAAACAGGAUUAGAUACCCGUGUAGUC
RNAcentral lists this ribosomal RNA (465 nucleotides) under uncultured bacterium. Its description in RNAcentral is "partial 16S ribosomal RNA". It matches the Rfam family "Bacterial small subunit ribosomal RNA", at positions 338 to 795 of the family's 1533-position model. The record is from RNAcentral.